ACUGCUAUCGGAUUGAUACUAAGCCAUGCGAGUCUUUGUAGCAAUACAAGGCGGACGGCUCAGUAACACGUAGUCAAUCUAACCUAUGGACGAGGAUAACCUCGGGAAACUGAGAAUAAUACUCGAUAGAUCAUUAUACCUGGAAUGGUUUAUGGUCCAAAUGAAUUUCGCCAUAGGGUGGGACUGCGGUCUAUCAGCUUGUUGGUGAGGUAAUGGCCCACCAAGGCUAUAACAGAUACGGGCUCUGAGAGGAGAGGCCCGGAGAUGGGUACUGAGACACGGACCCAGGCCCUAUGGGGCGCAGCAGGCGAGAAAACUUUGCAAUGUGCGAAAGCACGACAAGGUUAAUCCGAGUGGUUCCUGCUAAAGGAAUCUUUUGUUAGUCGUAACACCACUGAUGAAUAAGGGGUGGGCAAGUUCUGGUGCCAGCCGCCGCGGUAAAACCAGCACCUCAAGUGGUCAGGAGGAUUAUUGGGCCUAAAGCAUCCGUAGCCGGCUUUGUUAGUUUUCGGUUAAAUCUAUAUGCUCAACAUAUGGGCUGCCGGGAAUACUGCAAAGCUAGGGAGUGGGAGAGGUAGACGGUACUCCGUAGGAAGGGGUAAAAUCCUUUGAUCUAUGGAUGACCACCUGUGGCGAAGGCGGUCUACCAGAACACGUCCGACGGUGAGGGAUGAAAGCUGGGGGAGCAAACCGGAUUAGAUACCCGGGUAGUCCCAGCUGUAAACUAUGCAAACUCAGUGAUGCAUUGGCUUGUGGCCAGUGCAGUGCCGCAGGGAAGCCGUUAAGUUUGCCGCCUGGGAAGUACGUACGCAAGUAUGAAACUUAAAGGAAUUGGCGGGGGAGCACCACAAGGGGUGAAG
Molecule: ribosomal RNA, 860 nt
Filed under: uncultured archaeon
Lineage: Archaea
Description: bacterial SSU rRNA
Rfam family: Archaeal small subunit ribosomal RNA
Source: RNAcentral